UUUCGCGGUAGCACGUUCGCUUUGUAUCUCAAAAAUAUGAAGAGGAAAGUCCGGACACCACAGGGCAAGAUUCUCUACGAAAGUAGGGGGCAAAAGAGUUAAGUCUUUUGUACGGAAAGUGUCACAGAAAAUAAACCGCCGUCUAUGGGUAAGGGUGCAAAGGAGGUGUAAGAGACCACCGCGUUGUUAGCGAUAGCAAUGGCAGGACAAACCCAAUCGGGUGCAAGACAAAAUAGGAAGCUGGAUGGCCCGUCCAAAAGCUUCGGGUUUGUCGCAUUCGAAAGAAAACAAUUGCAAAAUUGUUAGAUAAAUGAACGUGGCAUUGUUUAACAAUGUACAGAAUCCGGCUUACAUACCGCAACCUAUU
This 367-nucleotide RNase P RNA is filed under the name Puniceicoccales bacterium. RNAcentral's name for it is "RNase P RNA component class A". It matches the Rfam family "Bacterial RNase P class A". Rfam says of the family: Ribonuclease P (RNase P) is a ubiquitous endoribonuclease, found in archaea, bacteria and eukarya as well as chloroplasts and mitochondria. Its best characterised activity is the generation of mature 5'-ends of tRNAs by cleaving the 5'-leader elements of precursor-tRNAs. Cellular RNase Ps are ribonucleoproteins. The record is from RNAcentral. Lineage: Bacteria; Pseudomonadati; Verrucomicrobiota; Opitutia; Puniceicoccales.